Molecule: ribosomal RNA, 18 nt
Filed under: Wolinella sp. enrichment culture SL2 clone SL2-ITS
Lineage: Bacteria; Pseudomonadati; Campylobacterota; Epsilonproteobacteria; Campylobacterales; Helicobacteraceae
Description: partial 23S ribosomal RNA
Source: RNAcentral
AAGCUUUUAAGGGCAGAU